Molecule: long non-coding RNA, 611 nt
Organism: Equus caballus (horse)
Lineage: Eukaryota; Metazoa; Chordata; Mammalia; Perissodactyla; Equidae
Source: RefSeq, a predicted model, not a curated record
GAGGAAGGCGAUCUGCUCUGCGGGUGGUUGUUCCAGAGGUCCCUGCGGCAAGAGAAUACAAAUCGCCGAAUUUCCGCAGGGGUUAAAGUUACCGUCGGCAGAGGGGCGAGGGGUGAAAAGAACACAAAACGCUUUCUAUUUCACUGAGAAAACAGAAGCAGUCAUAGGAGGACUUCCGCAAGGUCCCCAUCUACCUGCAUCAUUCAUAGGAAGUGAUGCAGAUUAAGAUGUACCCACCUUCAACAAAUCGGAGAGAGGGAGAGAAACAGAGACAGAGAGAAAGAGACACAGAAAGAAAGAGGCUGGUUGAAGACAGAACAGACUUGCAGACGAAGCAACCAAAUAGAUGUGUGAACUUUAUUUCAAUCCUGAUUAGGUCAAGAAACCUAUUAAGUGCUGUUCUGAGAAAAUCAGGGAAAUUUAAAUAUAUAUUAUGUAUUAGAUGCUACAAAAAUUGAAUGUAAAUUUUGUUAGGCAUAAAUUUGUGGAUAUGUAAUAAUUUUCCCUGUUAAUAGAGAGUCGUACUGAAAUAUAAAUGGUGAUGUUCCAUGAUAUCUAGAUUUACUUUAACAUACUUCAGAUAAAAAGAAAUAAAAUUUUUAACAAAGAGA